GAUGAACGCUGGCGGCGUGCCUAAUACAUGCCAGUCGAGCGAACAGACGAGGAGCUUGCUCCUCUGACGUUAGCGGCGGACGGGUGAGUAACACGUGGAUAACCUACCUAUAAGACUGGGAUAACUUCGGGAAACCGGAGCUAAUACCGGAUAAUAUAUUGAACCGCAUGGUUCAAUAGUGAAAGACGGUUUUGCUGUCACUUAUAGAUGGAUCCGCGCCGCAUUAGCUAGUUGGUAAGGUAACGGCUUACCAAGGCAACGAUGCGUAGCCGACCUGAGAGGAUGAUCAGCCACACUGGAACUGAGACACGGUCCAGACUCCUACGGGAGGCAGCAGUAGGGAAUCUUCCGCAAUGGGCGAAAGCCUGACGGAGCAACGCCGCGUGAGUGAUGAAGGUCUUCGGGUCGUAAAACUCUGUUAUUAGGGAAGAACAAAUGUGUAAGUAACUAUGCACGUCUUGACGGUACCUAAUCAGAAAGCCACGGCUAACUACGUG
RNAcentral lists this ribosomal RNA (497 nucleotides) under uncultured bacterium. RNAcentral's name for it is "partial 16S ribosomal RNA". It matches the Rfam family "Bacterial small subunit ribosomal RNA", at positions 28 to 507 of the family's 1533-position model. The record is from RNAcentral.